This 808-nucleotide ribosomal RNA is filed under the name Cricetulus griseus (Chinese hamster). RNAcentral describes it as "partial 16S ribosomal RNA". The stretch from base 152 to 808 matches the Rfam family "Bacterial large subunit ribosomal RNA", at positions 568 to 1721 of the family's 2925-position model. Lineage: Eukaryota; Metazoa; Chordata; Mammalia; Rodentia; Cricetidae. The record is from RNAcentral.
AGCUCUAGCCCUAUGAACUAAAUAAUUAAACUAUUUUUAUUAAUAAAUCAAACCAUUUAACUAUUAAAGUAUCGGAGAGAGAAACUUUACCUAAAGGAGCUAUAGAGACAGUACCGUAAGGGAAAGAUGAAAGAUAAGCUAAAGUAAAAAAAAGCAAAGAUUAAACCUUUUACCUUUUGCAUAAUGAACUAACUAGAACAAUUCUAGCUAAGAGAACUGAAGCUAGAAACCCCGAAACCAAACGAGCUACCUAAGAGCAAUUUUAUGGAUGCACCCGUCUAUGUAGCAAAAUAGUGGGAAGACUUCUAGGUAGAGGUGAAAAGCCUAACGAGCUUGGUGAUAGCUGGUUACCCAAUAAAGAAUUUCAGUUCAACUUUAAAUUUACCUAAAGGAAUAACAACCUAAAUGUAAAUUUAAAAUAUAGCCUAAAGAGGGACAGCUCUUUAGGAAAGGAAACAACCUUUAGUAGAGAGUAAGAUAAAAACAUACUAACCAUAGUUGGCUUAAAAGCAGCCACCAAUAAAGAAAGCGUUCAAGCUCAACACUUAAAAACUAUAAUACCUAAAAUUUUAUCAAUCUCCUACAUUCAUAAUUGGGUUAAUCUAUUAACAAAUAGAAGAGAUACUGUUAGUAUGAGUAACAAGAAUAAUAUUCUCCAUGCACAAGCCUAUAACAACCCGGAUAACCAUUGUUAGUUAACACAAAUAAAGCAUGUUAAACUACCUAUAAAUAAACUUUUAAAAUAAUGUUAAUCCAACACAGGUGUGCUUUAAGGAAAGAUUAAAAGGAAUAAAAGGAACUCGGCAAA